This 886-nucleotide ribosomal RNA is filed under the name uncultured bacterium. Its description in RNAcentral is "bacterial SSU rRNA". It matches the Rfam family "Bacterial small subunit ribosomal RNA", at positions 8 to 889 of the family's 1533-position model. The record is from RNAcentral.
AGGGUUUGAUCAUGGCUCAGAUUGAACGCUGGCGGUAGGCUUAACACAUGCAAGUCGUGCGAGAAAGUACCUUCGGGUGCGAGUAGAGCGGCGGUCGGGUGAGUAACGCGUAGGAAUCUACCUAGUAGAAGGGGAUAGCCCGGGGAAACUCGGAUUAAUACCGUAUACCUCCUUAGGGAGAAAGAGGGCUUAGCUUUGAUGCUCUCGCUAUUAGAUGAGCCUGCGUAAGAUUAGCUUGUUGGUGAGGUAAUGGCUCACCAAGGCGACGAUCUUUAGCUGGUCUGAGAGGACGAUCAGCCACAUUGGGACUGAGACACGGCCCAGACUCCUACGGGAGGCAGCAGUGGGGAAUAUUGGACAAUGGGCGCAAGCCUGAUCCAGCCAUACCGCGUGUGUGAAGAAGGCUUUCGGGUUGUAAAGCACUUUAAGUAAGGAGGAAAAGAUUGUAGUUAAUACCUGCAGUCCGUGACGUUACUUACAGAAUAAGGACCGGCUAAUUCCGUGCCAGCAGCCGCGGUAAUACGGAAGGUCCAAGCGUUAAUCGGAAUUACUGGGCGUAAAGCGCGCGUAGGUGGUUUUUUAAGUUGGAUGUGAAAGCCCUGGGCUCAACCUAGGAACUGCAUCCAAAACUAGAUGACUAGAGUACGAAAGAGGGAAGUAGAAUUCACAGUGUAGCGGUGGAAUGCGUAGAUAUUGUGAAGAAUACCAAUGGCGAAGGCAGCUUCCUGGUUCUGUACUGACACUGAGGUGCGAAAGCGUGGGUAGCGAACAGGAUUAGAUACCCUGGUAGUCCACGCCGUAAACGAUGACAACUAGCUGUUGGGAGACAAGAUCUCUCAGUGGCGCAGCUAACGCUUUAAGUUGUCCGCCUGGGGAGUACGGCCGC